CGGAGUGGACUCUUCAUUUGGGCGUCGGUCAUUGUAGGCGUGUAGAUGAAUCUGCCAAUAAAAGAGAGAGCUUGGUCUAAUUCUAAUGAUUUGAGAAAGAAGGCUUGAAUUCAAUUGUUUGCAGACUUUUUUUUCCAUGUGUAUGAUGUUGAUGAGAUCCAGUCCAGUGUUCGUCGUAGGGCCACUCCCACUCUUUCUCUCCCUGCUACUCAAAUCCCCAUGACUGCACCUCUCACUGACGCCACCGCCGCCAACAUUUUCAGUAUCCAUCAGUGCAACACCACCAGUACGGUGCUCAAAUCCCCAUGACUGCACCUCCCGCCGCCGCCACGGCCUCGAACAUUUUUAGUAUCCAUCUGUGCAACACCACCAGUACGGUGCUCAAUUCCCCAUGACUGCACCUCCUGCCGCCACCACGGCCUCCAACAUUUUUAGUAUUCAUCUGUGCAACACCACCAGUACGGUGCUCAAAUCCCCAUGACUGCACCUCCCGCCGCCGCCACGGACUCCAACAUUUUUAG
Long non-coding RNA from Cryptomeria japonica (Japanese cedar), 521 nucleotides. RefSeq lists it as uncharacterized. Lineage: Eukaryota; Viridiplantae; Streptophyta; Pinopsida; Cupressales; Cupressaceae. The transcript has 4 exons. The record is from RefSeq and is a predicted model, not a curated record.